Molecule: transfer RNA, 68 nt
Filed under: Loxodonta africana (African savanna elephant)
Lineage: Eukaryota; Metazoa; Chordata; Mammalia; Proboscidea; Elephantidae
Rfam family: tRNA
About the family: Transfer RNA (tRNA) molecules are approximately 80 nucleotides in length.
Source: Rfam by way of RNAcentral
CUGGGUGAUGCAAAUGGUUAAUGUGCUUGGCUGCUAACCAAAAGGUUGGUAGUUCAAGUCCACCCAGA